GAUGAACGCUGGCGGCGUGCUUAACACAUGCAAGUCGAACGAAGCACUUUACCGGAUUUCUUCGGGAUGAAAGUUUUGUGACUGAGUGGCGGACGGGUGAGUAACGCGUGGGUAACCUGCCUCAUACAGGGGGAUAACGGUUAGAAAUGACUGCUAAUACCGCAUAAGACCACAGGACCGCAUGGUCCGGUGGUAAAAAACUCCGGUGGUAUGAGAUGGACCCGCGUCUAAUUAGCUAGUUGGUAAGGUAACGGCUUACCAAGGCGACGAUCAGUAGCCGACCUGAGAGGGUGACCGGCCAC
RNAcentral lists this ribosomal RNA (302 nucleotides) under uncultured bacterium. RNAcentral's name for it is "bacterial SSU rRNA". It matches the Rfam family "Bacterial small subunit ribosomal RNA", at positions 28 to 311 of the family's 1533-position model. The record is from RNAcentral.